RNAcentral lists this long non-coding RNA (2639 nucleotides) under Triticum aestivum (bread wheat). Its description in RNAcentral is "long non-coding RNA (TAES_LNC015836)". The record is from RNAcentral. Lineage: Eukaryota; Viridiplantae; Streptophyta; Magnoliopsida; Poales; Poaceae.
UGGUCCUGCUAGCUAAUUUACCUCCCUUAGAGAUGACACUGUGCUAACAGCAUUGUUGGUACACAACAGCUUUUCAUGAACAUGACACAUUCUUGAAAACUAUAUCAUGCCCCGGGGCCCUCUGCUUCAAAUAAACAUAAAAAAUCAUGCUUAGUGUGACAGAAAACAGUAUGGGAAGAAGAGAAAAGGCAUGCUACUCAUGAUUUAUUUCAUAACAAAAUUGAUAAGGUGAUGGAAAUGGCUAAGACAGACUGAACGACGAGUUCGCUUCAAACAGACAGCAAAAAACUGUAGGUUCUGCAAAUCAUGUUUACAAAAAAUGUACUCCUAAGCAUCCAAUUUUUAAAAUGUCUCUGCAAAUAUUCCCUCAAGGAACCAGUAUCUUGUGAGCCCACACUUCUACUCACCAGACUAUUUAGCUGCUAAACCAGAAAAAAUGUUUUGACUAGUACCUCGUUCUGUUCUAUUAAACUUAAAGCAUCUGCCAAAUCUGCAGACCUGCAUUUGUGGUACAUCAGUACUCCCUCUGUAAAUAUAAGAUAUUUUAGAUCACUACUAGUGGUCUAAAAGAUCUUUCCAGAUCACUACUAAAAGAUCUUUUUAGAUCACUACUAGUGAUCAUUUCUUAAAUGCAAAGUUCCUAGUCACUGCCCUAUUAAGCUGCUAAUCAAAAUUUACAACAUUUGACAACCAAGUAGUUUUCAUCAGUAAUGCACUGUGGAAGAACAAUCUUAAUUACUUCCUUGCGACUACCGGACUCUAUCCAAAUUAUCUGAACAGGGACCAAAUUUCUACAAAUGUACUAUAUCCCAAUUAUCACCUAAGAUUUUUACAUCUCUAUUAAUGUUAGUAUGUUGCGAACUAACCUCUUAGCCCACAAUGGACCUUGAGGGUUGACCUUACCUAUACACAGCCGCGACACCUGCGGCGAGUUGCCCCUUCUGUGCGUGCAAAACAGAAAAAGAUCACGAUAUACUUACGAAUCGACAUACCUCCUGAUUGAUUAGUUGCAUUAGGAACUUCAUCGUUGGCGGCCGCCUCUGCUUCCUAUCCCUCUUUCUCACUCCUCUGCUUCCAAAUGCCGUCCAUGCUGGGGCCUUUGGGGGAGAAGAGCCAGAGCUCUGCAUCCAAUUUGUGCCUGCAGCCAUUCGACGGAAAAGCGGAUUUCCUGAGCCACGGACCAAAUUGAUUUUCGUCUUCCGAUCCGCGGCUUAGCUUGCUGCAUUCCACCUGCAUUGUAGAUCAAGGUUUUCAGAUUUCCAUUUCAUAUUAAGCUACCAAACAACUACAUCAAUUCUAUCUCUUGAAACUCUCAUGCUUACCACUCGUUGACUCAUCAUUCUCGUUCCAGUCACCAGAGGAGUCUGAUUUCCCUCAUUAUCUUUCUUGCUUCUAGAGUUUUGGUCCAGUGGUCCUGCUAGCUAAUUUACCUCCCUUAGAGAUGACACUGUGCUAACAGCAUUGUUGGUACACAACAGCUUUUCAUGAACAUGACACAUUCUUGAAAAUUAUAUCAUGCCCCGGGGCCCUCUGCUUCAAAUAAACAUAAAAAAUCAUGCUUAGUGUGACAGAAAACAGUAUGGGAAGAAGAGAAAAGGCAUGCUACUCAUGAUUUAUUUGAUAACAAAAUUGAUAAGGUGAUGGAAAUGGCUAAGACAGACUGAACGACGAGUUCGCUUCAAACAGACAGCAAAAAACUGUAGGUUCUGCAAAUCAUGUUUACAAAAAAUGUACUCCUAAGCAUCCAAUUUUUAAAAUGUCUCUGCAAAUAUUCCCUCAAGGAACCAGUAUCUUGUGAGCCCACACUUCUACUCACCAGACUAUUUAGCUGCUAAACCAGAAAAAAUGUUUUGACUAGUACCUCGUUCUGUUCUAUUAAACUUAAAACAUCUGCCAAAUCUGCAGACCUGCAUUUGUGGUACAUCAGUACUCCCUCUGUAAAUAUAAGAUCUUUUAGAUCACUACUAGUGAUCUAAAAGAUCUUUCCAGAUCACUACUAAAAGAUCUUUUUAGAUCACUACUAGUGAUCAUUUCUUAAAUGCAAAGUUCCUAGUCACUGCCCUAUUAAGUUGAUAAUCAAAAUUUACAACAUUUGACAACCAAGUAGUUUUCAUCAGUAAUGCACUGUGGAAGAACAAUCUUAAUUACUUCCUUGCGACUACCGGACUCUAUCCAAAUUAUCUGAACAGGGACCAAAUUUCUACAAAUGUACUAUAUCCCAAUUAUCACCUAAGAUUUUUACAUCUCUAUUAAUGUUAGUAUGUUGCGAACUAACCUCUUAGCCCACAAUGGACCUUGAGGGUUGACCUUACCUAUACACAGCCGCGACACCUGCGGCGAGUUGCCCCUUCUGUGCAUGCAAAACAGAAAAAGAUCACGAUAUACUUACGAAUCGACAUACCUCCUGAUUGAUUAGUUGCAUUAGGAACUUCAUCGUUGGCGGCCGCCUCUGUUUCCUAUCCCUCUUUCUCACUCCUCUGCUUCCAAAUGCGUCCAUGCUGGGGCCUUUGGGGGAGAAGAGCCAGAGCUCUGCAUCCAAUUUGUGCCUGCAGCCAUUCAACGGAAAAGCGGAUUUCCUGAGCCACGGACCAAAUUGAUUUUCGUUUUCCGAUCCGCGGCUUAGCUUGCUGCAUUCCACC